UACGGAGGGGGCUAGCGUUGUUCGGAAUUACUGGGCGUAAAGCGCGCGCAGGCGGCUUUUUAAGUCCGUUGGUGAAAUGCCGGGGCUCAACCCCGUGCCCGCCAGGGAUACUGGAGAGCUGGAGACGGAGUAGAGGCAAGCGGAAUUCCGGGUGUAGCGGUGGAAUGCGUAGAGAUCCGGAAGAACACCGGAGGCGAAGGCGGCUUGCUGGGCUCGGUCUGACGCUGAGGCGCGAAAGCGUGGGGAGCGAACAGG
RNAcentral lists this ribosomal RNA (255 nucleotides) under uncultured bacterium. RNAcentral's name for it is "partial 16S ribosomal RNA". It matches the Rfam family "Bacterial small subunit ribosomal RNA", at positions 524 to 776 of the family's 1533-position model. The record is from RNAcentral.